Molecule: long non-coding RNA, 305 nt
Filed under: Daucus carota (carrot)
Lineage: Eukaryota; Viridiplantae; Streptophyta; Magnoliopsida; Apiales; Apiaceae
Description: long non-coding RNA (DCAR_LNC007409)
Source: RNAcentral
UUUGACAGAAAAUACACUUGCUCGUAUCGAUAAAACGCCAAUACUCCGAGGAGUUUCUUUCAUUCAAAAAAGCUUAUCAUCUAACCGAAAGACAUGAAAAUGUCUCCGGAAGUUUAGACAAUAAGACCUUAAUGUCCGAAAAGAAAUGUCCCAACUUGUAAGACCACGCUACCUGAAACAAAUACAAUUCAUUAAUAACAAGAAAAUAUAAUAAAUUUAAUAAAUAAAAUCAAUAUAGUUUAUCAAAUUAAAAGAUGGUAAAAGUGAAUGAAAUGAUAAAUAUAAAAAUCAUUCGACAAAAAAAG